This 253-nucleotide ribosomal RNA is filed under the name uncultured bacterium. RNAcentral describes it as "partial 16S ribosomal RNA". It matches the Rfam family "Bacterial small subunit ribosomal RNA", at positions 524 to 776 of the family's 1533-position model. The record is from RNAcentral.
UACGUAGGGGGCAAGCGUUGUCCGGAAUUAUUGGGCGUAAAGCGCGUGUAGGCGGCUUGGUAAGUCCGUUCUGAAAGCCCAGGGCUCAACCCUGGGAGGCGGAUGGAUACUGUCAAGCUCGAGUCCGGAAGAGGCGAGUGGAAUUCCCGGUGUAGCGGUGAAAUGCGCAGAUAUCGGGAGGAACACCAAUGGCGAAGGCAGCUCGCUGGGACGUGACUGACGCUGAGACGCGAAAGCGUGGGGAGCAAACAGG